Molecule: non-coding RNA, 2616 nt
Organism: Hydra vulgaris (swiftwater hydra)
Lineage: Eukaryota; Metazoa; Cnidaria; Hydrozoa; Anthoathecata; Hydridae
Source: RefSeq, a predicted model, not a curated record
UGUCCAUUGUACUUCUUUGGAUACUACUUUGCAAAAAAGAAUGUGUACUAGGAUCACUUUGGUUUCCAUGACUAAGAUCUGGUUUUCCUAUGAUUAGACCUGUCACCCUGCAAAGAAUUAUAAGAAAAUAUAUUAACAGAUAUCUGAAGCUCAAGAAAAACCAACAUAACAGUAAGGCAGGAUGUGGGCAAUCUCGCACUGAUUUUUUAAAGACUGUAAGAGGUACUAACUACUUUUUAUUCAAAAAGUUAUUCAUAAUCUCCUUUGAAAAUCACUCCUUCAGUUUAAAUUAAAUAAACCUCAAAAAUAUUUACUUGAAUUGUUAAUUUUUUAUUUAAUAUAAAUAUUUUCAAGGACUGUUUUGGCUCAGUAACACAAAGAAAAGUCUUAUCAAAGCAAUCAAAGCAGACAAAGAUAGGCUUCUUUCCGACAAGUCUGAGGACUUGCUUUUUCUGAAGGAUCAAAUGGGAGAAAGAAAAAUGACGCUUGGGUCUAAUGACAAGUGUAGAGCCGAGAUAGAAAAGAAGAGAAAUAGAAGAAUUCAGAGUAAAGUUAUAGCAUUAACAAGUUUUUGCGAAAAAUCAUUUGUUCAGUCUAGAAGUUUUUAAAAUGUGCUCUACUGAUGGUGUACAUCUACCUAAAACAAUUUCUUUAGAACCAAGUUCAGAGUCUGAAUCAGAAAAAAAUUACAUGGACUGUUCAAUAAGGAGUUUUAAAAAUCAAGAACAAACCAUUGUCAUCAACCAAGUAGUUAUUAAAGAAACUAUGAGAACAGCUGUAGGCAUGGAUAUAAAAGCUCAUAAAAUUACAGCAACCCUGAUAAAGCUUGUCACGGCAGCUGGAGGUGAUCCAAAUAAGUUGCCCCUUUCUUAUAUUUCAGCUUUUCAAAUGAAAAACAAAAUUAUUAAAAAAGAUGCUAAAAAUACUAGGAUUUUAAUAAAAAAAAAGAUCGAACAAGGUAAGGUAAAAAUUCAGCUACACUUUGACGGAAAGUUAAUCAAGGUUUGCAUAUAUUUAGUUUUAACUAGUAUUUUAAUUGAAAACAACUGUUUUUCUUACGUCGUUAACCUAAUCCUAAUUGUAGGACUUAAUAUCAAAUUACGGUAAUGUAGCAGUUGAUAGGAUUUGUGUUCUUGUGAGAGCUGGAGGUACUGAUCUUCUACUUGGCGCUCCAGGAGUUCAUUCUGGUACAAGGCUAAAUCAGUUCAAGGCUAUCAAAAAAAUUUUGAAAGAGUUUGAAAUUGCUGAUCACGUAAAGAUGGUCUGCUUUGAAACUACUGCUAGCAAUUCAGGAAUGAUUAGUGGUGCUAUAUACAGAUGAACUGUUUCUCAAUAUAAUUUAAAAGAAGGACUCUAAAAGCUAAUUAUAAUAAACAAUUUAGUCAUAAUCAUUAUUGGUUAGCAGAUAUCAUAGACAAAACCACAGGAUCUGACAACGCACUCUUUAAAGGCUUGAAAAGUAAGUGGAAUGAUAUUGAUGUGAAAAACUGUCAUCACUUACUUCAAAUGGCAAUCUAUUUAUGAUUCUUGGUUUAACAAACAAGCAGAAAAAGCAAGAAAAUGUAUAAUGACGAUUGUGAAUGAAGAAGUCUUCAAAAACUCUCAGAGACACGAGAAAAGAGCAGACUACCAGGAACUUGUUGAGCUAGCUCAUGUUCUUGGAACCAACAUUCAAGCCUCUCAACAUACACAAGCCUGGAGCAGUACAUCAUGCUCGUUUUAUGGCAAAGAGUCUCUACAAUCUAAAGAUAAUGCUUCUUCUUAAUUCGACCAAGCAAAUCCUAAAAUUGAGCCAGGAGAAGAUUAAUGAGGUGGAAAAGAUGGCAAUUUUUAUUUCAAUGUUCUAUGCUCCUCAAUUUCUGAGAGCUAAAAAAUCAGAUACAGCUGCAAUCCAAGACCAGCACUUUAUCUGGCAGAUGGCCCACUUGGAGAAGUUUGAUGUAGCUGCAGUUUCAAUCUUUGGAAGGUGGGGAAAACACAGCUGGUACUUAGAUCCCACUACUGUUAUUUUUGCCCUAGUCAAUUCAGAUCAGUCUGUGUCUGAUAAUACAAAGGAAGAAAUGGCUAGAAAGCUUGUACAGUAUCCUCAAACAAACCAGUAUGAUUUUGAAAGAAAGAACAAUUUCGGUUUUAUUGCACAAAAGACCGAGUUUCUCAAAAAAUCACCGAGCCACCUUCACUCGUUAAUUAUGUAGAAGCUGAGUCAUGGUUAGUGGCUUUUUUAUCCUUCGUCUCCAUGGAAUAUAGAUCCAGAUUUCAUUGCUUUUCAACUAUUUUUUAAAAGCUUGGUGGUUAUUAAUUAUACAGCAGAAAAAGCCGUAAAAGCAAUCCGGUAGGUUGUUUCACAGACAUAUGACAAGAAGAAACUGCAGAAAAUGUUAUUAGUUAAGAAUAAAAUAAAAAAACCAAUUUCACGCACUAAAGCAGCAUAUAAAGAGGCAGCCGAACAGCUAACACCUGCUGAGAAGCUAAGCCUUGCGUAUGAAUAUGAAUGUCUUGAGGAGACGGAGGACAAGUUAUCACUAUCUAGUACUUAUGAUUUUGACAUUAGCUUGGAUAUUGUUGAUGAAGAUGAUGUGGUUGAGACUAUAGAGGCUGAAAACAAGGCCUUCAAUA